Molecule: long non-coding RNA, 2945 nt
Organism: Mustela erminea (ermine)
Lineage: Eukaryota; Metazoa; Chordata; Mammalia; Carnivora; Mustelidae
Exons: 2
Source: RefSeq, a predicted model, not a curated record
GAGAAAGGCUGGGUUCAUCCUAAGAGGUGCCUCCGGGUACCCGCUCCCCCUCGGGAGGAUGGUCCGGACUUCCAGGCAGUCCCGGAACCAUGGGCUCAGGCUCGGGACCCCUGGAGUACAAAGCAGUGAUCCAAGGCUUCGGAUUUCUAAAUGUGAGGGCCGCCCAGCAGACCCCGCCUAUGGCAUGGCCCCAGACAAGAAGGGGCUCUGAGGGGCGCCAAGUCAUCUCUAAGACCCCGGGGGCCAGAGGGGAGGCUCCGGCUCUGACAAUCCACGUGACCUCUCUGGGUGUGUGUGUGGGGGGGCGGUUUGGGGCCUGGAUUAUUCUAGUCCCCCCCCCCAGCACAGCCCAAGCUGGGGUCCAUGCCUGUCCAGCGGGGGCCCAGAAGAGGAAGUGGGGACGGCUGAUUGAGAGAUGGGGAGGGGAGAAGGAGGAAGGAGGGGGGACACAGGGCUUUCGGUCAUAUGCUGCUCAUCAGUUGCCAUGACGACAGCAAGGGGGUGGGGGCACCCGGAUGGGAGGCUGCAAGAGACAUGUUGGUUCUAAAUCACAGUGACAGUACUUCAGCGGAGCUAUUACGCCGUUGCUGUGGCAACCAAUGGGAUCAAAUCGCAGAGGAAAUCUAUAAUUAUUACAAGCCAGAUACCAACGAACUUGGCGCAGUAAUCAGCUCAUUAGGGCAAUUCAACGUUAACUCCGGGAGGGAGGCGCGCCGACCCCCAGCCCCCAACUCUGGGAAGGAGAAGGCCAAAGAGACCCUGUGAGGCCGAUCUGUUGGUGCCACAGAUGGGAACCCAGAAGGCUCUCUUGGCCAAAUGAGGAAUAUAUAUUAAAUGAAACCACAUGAAAUCGCCAACAUUUUUCCAUGGAUUUGCUGUGUUAGUUUCCAACGUGCAGAGGCACUGAAUUUGACUGCGAUUACCUGCAUUCUGCCUCCACCCCCGGCUCCUCACCGUCCCACUGUUCUAGGCUUUUUACCACCCGUCCACCCCGCUAGCCACCCGCGAAUCCUCUCUGUUUCUGGUGCAUUUCCAAGUCAAUUGCAGACAUCGUGAUGUGCCUCGCCGCCGCCCCCCGCAAAUACUUUAGCCUGCGUAAAAUGAAGUAUCUUGUCAUUUUUGAACAACAAAGACAGCAAUUUCACAGGGUUCAAUCUACACAGAAGGAAGUCUGGAUUUCUGUCUGUCAUCCAUCUGCCCAUGUAUCCAUCCAUCCAUCUCUCCACUCAUCCUUCCGUCCGUCUGCCCACCCACCCGUUCCUCUUCUCCUCCAUUCGCCCAUCCACCUGUGUGUCCGUCUGUCCAUCCAUCCAUCCACCCCACCCACCCACUCACUCACCCACCCACCCACCACCCAUCCGCCCAUGCAUCCCAGGGACAGCUCUUGCACACUCGCCAUUUCCACCGGAGAUCCACCAUCCCCACAUCUUCCUGCCUGGGCCAGUAGAUACCGCCAACAGGACGUCCUACAUAGUGAGCUCAGUAGGAUCUCAACUGAAAUCAUUGUUUUUCUCCUCACACACGUGUUCCCUUCCCUAUGUGCAGCAUCUCAGUAAACAGAUGCAAUCUGUCCAAGUCGGAAACUCAAGACCCAUGGUUGGCUCCUCUAUCCUGUUACCUUCCCUCAGCACCACACUCCGGCUCUAGCCUCCACCCUCUCCUCUCUCGCUCUUGUCCUGGUUCAGGUACCCAGUUUCCUAACUGGACAGCUGCCCAGCCCCCCAGGGGCCACCUCACCCUCCCUCUGCUCUGUCCAUGCUGACCUCCCAUUGCAAACUAUCUGGCCACACUGACAGUAUGGGGGGAACGAGCACCUCAUACAUGGCCGGUGGGGCUACACAUCUACACACAUACCUUGGAGAGCCUUUUCAUCAAAAUCUGUACAUUUUUAAAUGCACUAACUGCUUUUUCUCUCAGCAUCAUUCUACUUGAAAGAAUUUGCCUCACUGAUAGAAAUGGAAAGCAACCCAAAUGUCCAGCACCGGCAACUGGCUAAAUAAAUUCCGGCACACCUGUAAUAUAGAAUACUAUUCAGCUGAUAAAAAGAACGAGGUAGCACUUUAUGCACAGACGAGAGAAAGUGUUCAACCCAUGAAGUUAAAAAACGUUGCAAUAAGGCAUGUAUGGGGCGAGGUCUCCUGUGUCCCCGGAAGAUUCUAUAUUUGGGCACCAGGUUGGCUUGAGACAUAAGUGGGUGCCACUGUGUCCAGGGAGCAUGGCUUCAUGAACUGCCUCUCACAAAUGACAGCAUUGCUCUCCACCAGGCUGGAGACCAAGGGGCACGGGGCUGCCUUUCCUGCCCUUCCUGUCUGCCUCAGUAGCACACAGCACUUCUCUUCUUUACCAGGCAAGGUUGCCCUACAGGCUGCUGGGCUGUAUUAGGUGUUGGCCUUCUCUCUGGUCCAGGGGACACGUGGGGACACCAUCUGACCAGAGGGGACAUGAGACUGAAACCUGCCUCUGGAAAACUUGGCAAGUUUUGGAAAGCACGAGGUUCACAGGCGAACACCUGAUUUCCGAUUCCUGCUCAGACCCUAAAGGGCUCUUGUGCCUCUGUCUCUCCAGCUCUAUGAUGCGCUGACUACACCUCCUGGGGUCAUUCUGAAGGUCAAAUGUGGCAACAGGGGUGAAGACAGUGUGCCGAGGUCAGCUUGCUGAACCACUGAGAGGUAGUUAUGAAUUCGUCUUCAGGACCCAUUUAGCCACCUCGGAAUGCUAAGCCCAGCACAUGUUUCUGUCUGGGCACCUGUCCUGUGCUGAGGACACAGCUCAGCCCUUCAUAUACACGGUUUCACGUAAGCUUCAAAGCUCUUUGGUGGUAGGAAUUUUCGCUCCCACUUUGCAGAUGAGAAAGCCAAAGUGCACAGAGGUUAAGGGGCUCCCUAGGAGCACAGAGAGCUCUGGUGCUAACCAGAUAAGCCCCUAAAUCUUUCUUCCUUUUUUUU